RNAcentral lists this ribosomal RNA (253 nucleotides) under uncultured bacterium. RNAcentral describes it as "partial 16S ribosomal RNA". It matches the Rfam family "Bacterial small subunit ribosomal RNA", at positions 524 to 776 of the family's 1533-position model. The record is from RNAcentral.
UACGUAGGGUGCAAGCGUUGUCCGGAAUUAUUGGGCGUAAAGAGCUCGUAGGCGGUCUGUCGCGUCGGCUGUGAAAACCCGGAGCUCAACUCCGGGCCUGCAGUCGAUACGGGCAGACUGGAGUUCGGCAGGGGAGACUGGAAUUCCUGGUGUAGCGGUGAAAUGCGUAGAGAUCAGGAGGAACACCGGUGGCGAAGGCGGCCCACUGGGCAGUCACUGACGCUGAGGCGCGAAAGCUCGGGGAGCGAACGGG